GAUGAACGCUGGCGGCGUGCCUAAUACAUGCAAGUCGAGCGAACAGACGAGUAUCUUGCUCUUCUGACGUUAGCGGCGGACGGGUGAGUAACACGUGGCUAACCUACCUCUAAGACUUGGCUAACUUCGGGAAACCGUAGCUAAUACCGGAUAAUAUAUUUAACCGCAUGGUUCAAUAGUGAAAGACGGUUUUGCUGUCACUUAUCGAUGGAUCCGCGCCGCAUUAGCUAGUUGGUGAGGUAACGGCUUACCAAGGCAACGAUGCGUAGCCGACCUGAGCGGGUGAUCGGGAACACUGGAACUGAGACACGGUACAGACUCCGACGGGAGGCAGCAAUAGGGAAGCGACCGAAAAGGGCGAAAGACUGAAGGAGCAACGGAGCGUGAGUGAUGAAGGUCUGUGGAUCGUAAAACGCUGUUAGUAGGGAAGAACAAAUGUGUAAGUAACUAUGCACGGCUUGACGGUACCUAAUCAGAAAGCCACGGCUAACUACGUG
This 497-nucleotide ribosomal RNA is filed under the name uncultured bacterium. RNAcentral's name for it is "partial 16S ribosomal RNA". It matches the Rfam family "Bacterial small subunit ribosomal RNA", at positions 28 to 507 of the family's 1533-position model. The record is from RNAcentral.